GAGCACGUAGGUGGGUUUGUAAGUCAGAUGUGAAAGCCUUCUGUUCAACAGAAGAAUUGCAUCUGAAACUGCGAGUCUUGAGUGUAGGAGGGGAGAAUGGAACUUCUGGUGGAGCGGUGAAAUGCGUAGAUAUCAGAAGGAGCGCCGGCGGCGAAAGUGAUUCUCUGGCCUAUUACUGACACUCAGUGUGCGAAAGCUAGGGGAGCAAACGGGAUUAGAUACCCCGGUAGUCCUAGCCGUAAACGAUGGGCACUAAGUAGAGGGAAUUACCGAUGUUCUCUCUGCCGUAGCUAACGCAUUAAGUGCCCCGCCUGGGGAGUACGGCCGCAAGGCUAAAACUCAAAAGAAUUGACGGGGGCUCGCACAAGCGGUGGAGCAUGUGGCUUAAUUCGAUGCAACGCGAAAAACCUUACCGGGGCUUGACAUGGUAGAAGUAGGAACCCGAAAGGGUAACGAACGGUAUCCAGUCCGUAGCUAUCACAGGUGUUGCAUGGCUGUCGUCAGCUCGUGUCGUGAGACGUUGGGUUAAGUCCCCUAACGAGCGAAACCCUUGUUUUUAGUUACCAGCGGGUUAUGCCGGGUACUCUAGAAAGACUGCCGUCGUCAAGACGGAGGAAGGUGGGGAUGACGUCAAGUCAUCAUGGCCCUUAUGCCCCGGGCUGCACACGUGCUACAAUGGUCGGUACAAACGGAAGCGAAGCCGAGAGGUGAAGCGAAUCC
This 720-nucleotide ribosomal RNA is filed under the name uncultured anaerobic ammonium-oxidizing bacterium. RNAcentral describes it as "bacterial SSU rRNA". It matches the Rfam family "Bacterial small subunit ribosomal RNA", at positions 565 to 1274 of the family's 1533-position model. The record is from RNAcentral.